RNAcentral lists this transfer RNA (71 nucleotides) under Pan troglodytes (chimpanzee). RNAcentral describes it as "tRNA-Gly (CCC) (tRNA-Gly-CCC-1-1)". It matches the Rfam family "tRNA". From Rfam's summary of the family: Transfer RNA (tRNA) molecules are approximately 80 nucleotides in length. Their secondary structure includes four short double-helical elements and three loops (D, anti-codon, and T loops). The record is from Rfam by way of RNAcentral. Lineage: Eukaryota; Metazoa; Chordata; Mammalia; Primates; Hominidae.
GCAUUGGUGGUUCAGUGGUAGAAUUUCCGCCUCCCACGCGGGAGACCCGGGUUCAAUUCCCGGCCAAUGCA